This 254-nucleotide ribosomal RNA is filed under the name uncultured bacterium. RNAcentral describes it as "partial 16S ribosomal RNA". It matches the Rfam family "Bacterial small subunit ribosomal RNA", at positions 524 to 776 of the family's 1533-position model. The record is from RNAcentral.
UACGGAGGGUGCAAGCGUUAUCCGGAUUUACUGGGCGUAAAGGGCGCGUAGGCGGCCACCGCAAGUCGACUGUGAAAUCUCCGGGCUUAACCCGGAAAGGUCAGCCGAUACUGCGGGGCUAGAGUGCAGAAGGGGCAACUGGAAUUCUCGGUGUAGCGGUGAAAUGCGUAGAUAUCGAGAGGAACACCUGCGGCGAAGGCGGGUUGCUGGGCUGACACUGACGCUGAGGCGCGAAAGCUAGGGGAGCGAACGGG